GAUGAACGCUGACAGAAUGCUUAACACAUGCAAGUCAACUUGAACUUCGGUUUGGGUGGCGGACGGGUGAGUAACGCGUAAAGAACUUGCCUCACAGUUAGGGACAACAUUUGGAAACGAAUGCUAAUACCUGAUAUUAUGAUUUUAGGGCAUCCUAGAAUUAUGACAGCUAUAUGCGCUGUGAGAGAGCUUUGCGUCCCAUUAGCUAGUUGGAGAGGUAACGGCUCACCAAGGCGAUGAUGGGUAGCCGGCCUGAGAGGGUGAACGGCCACAAGGGGACUGAGACACGGCCCUUACUCCUACGGGAGGCAGCAGUGGGGAAUAUUGGACAAUGGACCAAGAGUCUGAUCCAGCAAUUCUGUGUGCACGAUGAAGUUUUUCGGAAUGUAAAGUGCUUUCAGUUGGGAAGAAAAAAAUGACGAUACCAACAGAAGAAGUGACGGCUAAAUACGUG
This 454-nucleotide ribosomal RNA is filed under the name uncultured bacterium. RNAcentral describes it as "partial 16S ribosomal RNA". It matches the Rfam family "Bacterial small subunit ribosomal RNA", at positions 28 to 507 of the family's 1533-position model. The record is from RNAcentral.